AAUGAAAUAUAAAUGGCCAGACGUGACUCGAAUUAAAAGGAAUUACGCAAUUCAGGCUUGAAUACCCACAUGGCUAAAAUUAGAUGUCACUAUAGAAUUUACAGGAUUGGUGAAAAAAAACAGAGACCGCGCCUUUAUCGGCAAUCGAGCCCAGACUUUCAUGUUUCUAUGUAGGCAAUGGUAUUUCCAAUCACACCAUUACUUCAACAGAAUUUUAUACGACUUUGUCGCCACAUAAAGUUGCUUAAUAGAAUUUAGAUAUGUCAUAUAAUGAAACUAACGAAUUCUGAAUUUCCUCCUUUUCAAUUUUUAUAAUCUUUCCAUGAACGUAGUUGUAGAAAUUGUUGAAAAUUGUGGAUCUUUGAAGCCGAAAUAAUGUUAUAGGAACACUAAAUUUAUACUGAGGAUUAAUAUUAAAAUAAUGAAAUAUUUAUUUCAUGAACGAUUCCUUAUAUAUUCAUGGAUACACACUUGCACGCGUCUCGGCACUUUCUUCUAUACCCGACUGUUAACCGACUCUUAACCGACUGAAGAGUUUACAUUCCUUUGUUUUCGAGACGCUUCGGACACACAUACUUUCACACACUGAUAUUCACAUACAAGUAUCUCUACUACGCAUUUAACCUAGUCCAGCACAGAAAAUUAUACAUAUCUCAACAGAAAUAUAUCGAUAUAAUAUAGAAUACAACGAAAAGUGAACAUAGGAAAAAUAAGGAAUUUAAAUAAAUUGGGUUAGUUUUUCUAGAUAUUAGUAAUACACAUAAACAAACACAAUAUCAUAGUAGUUCUCAACAGAUAGCGAAAAGGUUAGAUUAUAAGUAUAUUCAGUCACGUGACUCGAAACGCGUCCCACAUUACCCACCAAACUGAGCACGGAUUCCGUCAAUGCUUCCACACGCGCAUUUCUAUAUCUCCUAAAAUACGUCUGGCGAGAGAACAGGAGUGUUACAGGUUGAUAAGCGAACGAUGUUUUACUGCCGUGAGGGCAUAUAACAAUGCCGCUUUGUUCGUACCGCGGCGACGCCGACUUAAAGCCGGUGUUUUCUACUGAUACAGAAUAAAUUUAUCCAUUGGUCGGCGACAUAGUUGACCGGCCGACUACAACAGUGGCCUCUAGAGUCACGUGAUCCGUGAAAUUCCUAAUAUCCUAUAUAUACAAACAAAAAUUUAUGUCCUCUACUACGAAUACGAAAAUAUUUGAAAUUUCAUGGCACAAGAAAACGAAGUUUUAAAUUACAAGAAGAAGAAAAUUAUAAUCUCAAUUUUCAAUUUCACGUUCAUCCCUGUUUAAAAUAUCUUCCCUGUUUCUUCUAACCAUCAACGUAGGUGGUAGAACAACAAGGAAAGAUCAAAGCUGUAGGUGAUCCUAUCUGCCGGCGGCUUUAGAAGCACAAUUAAUCUCUUUCGGUGCGCGUGAAGGGAAACGCCGACGAGUAACGUGAAAGGUCGAGAGUUCCCCGCCAGCCAGUGACCCUGCGGUAUUUUUCUUUUUGAAAUAACUUUAAAACACAAAUAUAAGUUUUUCCCACAUGAUUAAAUGAUGUCAUAAGGAGACAUCGAACACGAUAAGCGAAAGAAGUGUGAAAUUCCAAUUAGAGGCACUGAAGUGUGCAAAAAUAUGUCACCAAGUCACUGAUGCGCCCUUCAUCAUGGACGAUAUAAGAACCGGGCGUGAGGCGACAGAAAUAUGUAUUGCUAGUCGAUCGUAGCAGGCCGUGCCGAACAGUUCCAGCGCAGCGCAAGAACGGGAAUGUUAAUGCCGCAUCAAGAGUUAUGAUAAAUGGUGUGAUUUUGCAAGGGGCGCGCGAAGAAAUAUGUUACUGUCGCUCCACAGACGUAGAAGAAAUAGCUCUUAAUAGUGUAGAGACGUGGUUUGAUCGGUACGCAAUGUACGAUUCUAUAUUAAUAACAUGGACAUAAAAAAUUAAAGUAAAUCUUAGUAAGAUAAGAUAUUUAUCAGAUUUUUAUAUUUGCUUUACAGUGCAGUAAUUUUUAAAACAUUCUUAUUAUUUGCCUGACAGUAGGAUUCAGAAUGAGAUCUAAGAUAGAAUUCCACUAAGUGACAUACAAGUGAGUUGAGCAUACCUAAUUUAAUGUCCUUUACUACGUGAUUUUAUGUGUGAUUCUGUAUGCAAUACUUUGUGUAAUUUUUCGGUCAUAUAACGCAUUUCUAUUCUUCUGUGUCAUUGGAAAUUAAAAAAAUAAUGUUAUAGUACUGGAAUGAAAAGAGCUAUGAAACUUCAAUUAUAGGUUAAGACUGAAAAUUCUUAUGCAUGAUUUAUUGGAGGUCAGUAGACAGUGUCAAUGAUAACACUGUUCCUAUUCAGUGGAAGAUCGCCACACGACACGCUAUACCCGCUGAGAAGCUACAAACGAGUCAAUGAUCUCUCUAACCACUUCCCGUAAACAAACAGUUCGGCGCACGCCAUGCGACGCGCAGAGGUCGAAACGCAUCAGGCGCUCAUAGGUUGCGUACACACUAAACAAGAACAAAUCAUACCAACCUACGAUUCGUUGGUCGGGCUAAGGUAUCCAACUUACUUAUUACAAUGAAAGUACAAAUACAAAAAGCAAUAAGACUGCAAAACAAACGUAUGUGAAAAGACAGAUUUUGACUGCACCAGCAUACAAAAAUUGGGGAAUUAACCGCAACAUAUAAAAAAAAUUCGGACGAAGAAUGAAAACGUAGAAUGAAAAGAGAAACAGAGAGGGGAGUAAGAAAGGACGAAUGAAGGAAAGACGAAGAAGACGAAAAAAGACAAAACGCGAAGACUCCCUCUCCUCGCUUCUCUUUCCUGGCCGUACGCUGUCGUCGAGACGGCAACUGGCGAUGCAAUGUCGAGUGCCGAGUGCUAUAUAUAGGUGGCCCUGAGUGUGCAAAAAUCACCCUACAAAAAUCUGGAUCAAGGGGCCAUUCACCAACUACGCCAAGCAUUACGCGGUGUCUGGUGUAUCCUAGAGCACGCCAAAGCGCCUUCAACAGACGUCGUCCAGAUCGACGUCGCCGUCGUCGUCGACGUCGUCAUCGUUUGUCCCUGAUACAUACAUCAGAAUGUUGCGUGCGGGCAUUCUUACAUCCAUAUAUAGUAAAAGCCGAAUCAAAUUCUGUACUGUCGCUGUCUGCCAAUGCUGUCGUUCCCCUGCCACUUGUUCAGCGCUCGAAAGAUACAUUAAGAUGAUCGUUAACGCUGACUGUGCAGGUUUUAUAUUCGGGUCGAUCCGAUUCACGCAAGCGUGGGACGUUUGAUUGUCGAUUUGCAUGAUCGUGGGUGCGGCUCGUAUUAGAUUUUACAUUUACGAUUUAUUUUUAUACUUCCUUCUCUCUUGCUCUAUAAUGUAAUUAAAUUUGUAAUAGUCUUCAGAUGAAAGUAGAUCGCUAGAACGUUCUUGACACGUCCGAUUGGUUGCUGAAUCACGAUAAGCGUUAAGCUGUGCCCUCACUGGCGCGAUAAUUAGAAAUCUGUCGCUGAUAAUCCAUGUUUCUUGAAGAAAUUGCUGAUAUUUGUUGCCUAUUGUUUCUCUAGGUGCCUUUACGCUCGCCAGUUACCAGUAACAAAAUAUGCUGUUUAUUAUAUAUUGUUGUUUCUAUGAGGAUGCACCUUUAGGUUAUGGCUUUUAUGGUUAGUAAGUCCAUAUUUUAACAAACUGUCGUUCUAACGAAUACGUCGAAACAAUUAUAUAUAGAUAGAUAAUAUAUAGAUUCCUACGAAUAUAUGGGUUAACAAUUCUCAAAUGUUUUAUUCAAACGUUUUAUAAACGGCAGUUAGUCAGAACACGCGUUAUAUCUAUAGCAUUAGAUCAGUGCAUGGUGAUAAUUGAAAUUCGCGUGACUAGUGGCGCCAGAAACCUGCUAGAGAUCGGGCGACGCGAUAAGUCAGCCGCAGGCCAGCGUUCAGCCGACAGAAAAAUCCUCGUGCGAUAUCCCUGCAAAGCAACUGAGCACAGGUUGUCCGAAAAUGGGCAAACCUCUUCCAAGAGAAAAGAGGCAGGUCCGUUGUUAUACUUCCUUACACGCGUAAUUAUGACCGUAUUUGUCGUCACGACUGAGAUCAGUCUUACCUAUCUGCUCACUGAUCAUGCUAACUCGUCUCCUCCUUUCACCUCCACCUCUGAUCCCCCUCAACUUUUACAAUUACUAUUACAACUCAACAGUUCCCCUAUCAUUUUUCCACGAGUCUCCACCCCUUUUUCCCUUAUAUUCAUUUCCACCUCCGUUCAGAUUCCUUUUACGGACUUUCUCGUUUCUUUCCUCUUACUCUCGCCAUCUUUCUCCCCUCCAUACUGCAUCUACACUGACUGCUCCCGACUGUAACUGGCACUUCACCUUUCUCCAUUUUCCUUAUUUUUCUAUGGUUCUCUACCAAUCAUAAAUACGAUAUUAUAGUAUGAUCAUUUUAAGAAAUAUUCAUGGUAUAAAUAUGAAUAAAGUAUAUAGUUUGCGCGUAAGCUCGCAUAUACUUGUACGUAUAUGAGCACAGUUGAGAACUGCGUGAGUGAGAUACAUAAUGUGUCAUGUCGGUUUUCAAUGAUGAUUUUCCUAACGAACCGCGAAAUUAAAGGAUUCUCAGAGGCAUCGCGGCCGUCGUGCACGAUCACUCACCGUUACCACCCGCUCCACGCACAACCGUGAAGAGAAAUCGAGCGGGAACCGUACGAAGAAUCGGUGUGCGCGCGCAACUGCAGCGUUCUGCUGAUCCUUGCGUGCUUCCAGAAUUUCUAGCGUUCGGAUAACUUAAUCUCGAGGAGUGUCUCCGGUUUCAUGGAAACGCAAUCUUCCUAACCUAACACACUUACGCACCUUUAUUCUACCAACCUGUUAUUUAUUGAGCCGUUGCGAAUUGAAAUUCUGUAUAAGUCGAAAAUUGAAUUUUUUAAAGUUUAUUAGAACACAAGAUACCGUUGAUCUAUAGAGGUUAGGAAUGAUGUAUAACAGAUCAGUACAGGAUAAACGUACUAGCAAAUAUUAUUCACAUUUCAUCUUACUCUGUUUAUUUUUUAACCAUACACUUGCUAUUCAUUCGAACCACCGUACUCGUUGCACCCACGCAUCACAUCGGCCGUGAAUCACAUCGAUUCCGUGCAUUCACACGCACACAGAAUCGCGAACCUAACGUACGAUAUCCGGUGCUCGUCGCGUACAUCGACGCUCGUCGUUCUCGCCCUCGUUCGCGGAAUGAGACACGGCGAAAUUUUAAAUUCGCUCUCGCUUUCUCGCCGUCUUCUUCGAAACCCUCGCGAUGAAAAUAUUUCCAGUAAACCAAAAAGAACAGCUAUCGCUGUACUCGGCUGCGUGAUAACUUUCAACUAGCUAUCGGAGUUUCUCUCGUCCGAAAAAGAAAAGACGAAAAGAGAAAGAAGAUAAGAAGAUUCGUGAAAAAAUAAACUUUUCUGGAGGAAAAUUUUGAAUAUUCUAUUCUCAAUUUGAAGAAACGAGUGCGUAUAUGAACGGAUUUUCGUUACAAAAUCACUUUUUCCAUUUUGCGUAAACUUGUGCACAAUUCGCGAGAAUACACACUGAUUCUUACACGAGAGAUAAAAUUGACAGUAGACACAUGUACAUACGUAGUUCAGGAUCAGAUCCAAAUUACCUUUAUUUAAAUUAUUUAAAUUUAACAUAUCGCCACUAAUAGAUAGUACCGUCCUAUUUUGACUCUCGAGGUUGUUACAUAUUUAAAACUUUCAUAAACAAUGCAAAACAUAAUUUUAAAGGAAGUGCAUGUAAAUUAUAACUUGAAAACACAGACUCGAUAAAUCUCGUAAUAAUCUACAUCACGAUAGCGUAAGAGGCGAAUGAUGUGUAUCGUGCGCGCGAAUAACGCGUGCCAAAUGGAAGGGGCCACGUAACCGGUCGGUGCACGACCAGAAACGAUCUCGUAAAGAAUACGACGAUGCGGUAAGAAAGCGUUGAAACCAUUCGUCAAGGGUCUCUCGCGUUUAGUCGAAACCUCGGUCGUCUGUCUCUCUCGAUAUGACCGAGCGUUAUUGUAGAAGGGGCGAAGAGACAGGCAAAACGAAACGACCGCGAGAGGGCGACAAAAAACGAUCAAACGAGUAAUGUCGCUCGCGUAAUUCACUGUUUCGCUCGACGGAGUUCUGCGGGAUCUGAUGGAGAUGAGAAUGAGAUAGAAAACAACGGUUGUAUCACCAUAUAGUGUUUUAAAAUGUUUAAUUACGAAAAAGUCAUUCAACACAUAAUUCAUAGUUUGCAGAUACAAUAUUAGAUGAAUCACUCGGACAUCACGCGUUUGGAAAUUGACCAUUUGUGGCUGCAUCUACUUGAAAGUGAAAGUGUCAUCAAAUUUUUGCAAUCUGUUCAUUACAAAACUUAAAUAUGCAGCAACUACGAAGAGUAUUUGUACAGAUUCUUAUUUUCCACUAAAGCGGUUUUUAAUCAGAUUCUAUAUUCCAUUUUUGCUGUUCAGCAAAUUUUUGCAGUCAUAUGAAAGUACUAUUAAAUGAUGAAAAAUUCAAUAUACUUGAAACUAAUUAAUUAGAAUAUAUAUGUAGCUGCUAUAAUAAAGACAAUGUGCUGUACAAGUACUUUUUGUAGCUGCUCUAUGUCUCUCUCUACAAAAUUCAUGAUACAUAAAACAAACGAUUGCAUAUUUUACAUGUAGGAGAAUUACAAAAGAAGAGUCAUCGACCGUAGAAUGUUAUUCUUUAAGACAGUAGAGAUAACUAACCUCCGUGUCCAUUAUUACCUGUGUACCUAUUUAAAUAAUUGUCGUAGCUGUUAUCAAACAAUGAGAACAUCACGGUAGAGCAGAACGAGAAAACCACGGACACUAUCGAAGUGUAAAGAGCUCUCGAAGACAGAAGAGGUAGAAGUAUGGAACGAGACGAAAGAGGGAAGAGCAAUACAGGGGAAGUGCAGGGAGCAACAAGAAGAUGCGUUUGAAGAGCAAGCGGCCGAAACAGAAGAGGGGUGAGGAAGGAGGCGCGGGUGUUAGGGGAGAGUUGCUCGGUGUGCUGCCACACUCAGAAUGGAGUCGAGUGCCAGAGAGUCGGUUGUCCGUGUAUUUCAGGCGGCACGGGCCACUGCACUACCCCUACUACUUGUCGCGCCGACACUCUGUUCUGGAAUACUCGGCAGACACUAACGUAUGUCCUCGGAAUCCGCUUUUGAGCUUGCUAUAAGGAACAAAGAAAAGGAAAAAGGAAGAAAGAUGGAAGGAACGAAUACCGUGCUAUACCGUAAAACUAUUUCCAGCGAAGCGCCGAUCAUGAUAACUGAUAAGGUUUGGGGAAUGCAGCGGGAGAAGAAAACGACACCAAUCUAGAAUCUACUUUUCUGAUAUAUAAUUCAUCUAUCGUGUCUUCUGAAUAAGUUUUGUAAAGAAUUUUGGAAAGACAUCAUAUAUAUAUUCAACACAGUUCGCCAUAGUCUCACUGAAAAAAUGUAUAAUAUUUAGAGGGCACUUGCAACCUCGAUCUCAACAAUACGUUAUAUAUACGUCAACUGUUGGUAGUUGUUACUCGCGGAGGCACCAUUAACCCUUUCAGUGGACGCAAUAGAGUGGUUACAUUUCCGGAAUGCCGAGGCUGUCUAUCUUACCAUGGAAUUAUUCCCGAAUUACUUUCACAAUUUAUAUACAUAAUAAUUCUAAUAACAACCUCGUUCCUCUCUCUUCGCUAAUA
Molecule: long non-coding RNA, 7638 nt
Organism: Bombus huntii
Lineage: Eukaryota; Metazoa; Arthropoda; Insecta; Hymenoptera; Apidae
Exons: 5
Source: RefSeq, a predicted model, not a curated record